UGUGGGUACUGGGUAGCCCCCAUAGAGACUUGGUUAAUACAAUUUUCUUUCACAGUUCUCUGUGCACUCGAACUUCCACCUGCACCUUCUAUAUAACUGUUUCGCGAGUUUCUAACCAUUCAUUCAUUUACCAACAUUGGUGACCGACAUUUUCCAACUUGAACACUUCGAUCAAUUUUGGAAAUUUUAUUUGUGCACCUCGUGUAUUUUGUUAACUUUGUGAAAAUGUCUAAGGAUUUAUCGGGAUCAGGCGCUGGAAGUAUCUUAGGAGUUUCCGAUAUAACAGACAACCGUCACAUAUGGCGGAUGCUGUUGGCCGAAUUC
Molecule: long non-coding RNA, 324 nt
Organism: Photinus pyralis (common eastern firefly)
Lineage: Eukaryota; Metazoa; Arthropoda; Insecta; Coleoptera; Lampyridae
Exons: 2
Source: RefSeq, a predicted model, not a curated record